UUUAACAUAAUUGAGUCUCAUACCAAGCACCUGAUUAUAGAUCUCAUCAUCUAUGGGUAUGGUCGAGCCCUCAGGGGUAGGCUGGGAUCUGAUGCCUAUCAUACGAUCUUAAAAAUUAAAGUUAUAGAUAUUUUAAUUUCAUACUGAAAAUCAAACUAUGAAUGAAAAAAUAAUUGAAAAAAUUUAUAAAAUGCUCCUACCUCC
This 204-nucleotide long non-coding RNA is filed under the name Elaeis guineensis (African oil palm). RNAcentral's name for it is "long non-coding RNA (EGUI_LNC062058)". Lineage: Eukaryota; Viridiplantae; Streptophyta; Magnoliopsida; Arecales; Arecaceae. The record is from RNAcentral.